Molecule: ribosomal RNA, 313 nt
Filed under: uncultured bacterium
Lineage: Bacteria
Description: bacterial SSU rRNA
Rfam family: Bacterial small subunit ribosomal RNA
Source: RNAcentral
ACCUGCCCAUCAGUCUGGGAUAACCACCGGAAACGGUGGCUAAUACCGGAUAUGUCUACGGAUGAAAGUCGGAUUUUCUGACACUGAUGGAUGGACCUGCGGCGCAUUAGCUAGUUGGUGAGGUAGUGGCUCACCAAGGCGACGAUGCGUAGCCGACCUGAGAGGGUGAUCGGCCACACUGGGACUGAGACACGGCCCAGACUCCUACGGGAGGCAGCAGUAGGGAAUCUUCCGCAAUGGACGCAAGUCUGACGGAGCAACGCCGCGUGAGUGAAGAAGGUUUUCGGAUCGUAAAGCUCUGUUGUUAAGGAAG